UGGAUCCAGACUUUGAUCAUGGCUCAGGAUGAACGCUAGCUACAGGCUUAACACAUGCAAGUCGAGGGGAAACGACAUCGAAAGCUUGCUUUUGAUGGGCGUCGACCGGCGCACGGGUGAGUAACGCGUAUCCAACCUGCCCACCACUUGGGGAUAACCUUGCGAAAGUAAGACUAAUACCCAAUGAUAUCUCUAGAAGACAUCUGAAAGAGAUUAAAGAUUUAUCGGUGAUGGAUGGGGAUGCGUCUGAUUAGCUUGUUGGCGGGGUAACGGCCCACCAAGGCAACGAUCAGUAGGGGUUCUGAGAGGAAGGUCCCCCACAUUGGAACUGAGACACGGUCCAAACUCCUACGGGAGGCAGCAGUGAGGAAUAUUGGUCAAUGGACGAGAGUCUGAACCAGCCAAGUAGCGUGCAGGAUGACGGCCCUAUGGGUUGUAAACUGCUUUUAUAAGGGAAUAAAGUGAGUCUCGUGAGACUUUUUGCAUGUACCUUAUGAAUAAGGACCGGCUAAUUCCGUGCCAGCAGCCGCGGUAAUACGGAAGGUCCGGGCGUUAUCCGGAUUUAUUGGGUUUAAAGGGAGCGUAGGCCGGAGAUUAAGCGUGUUGUGAAAUGUAGACGCUCAACGUCUGCACUGCAGCGCGAACUGGUUUCCUUGAGUACGCACAAAGUGGGCGGAAUUCGUGGUGUAGCGGUGAAAUGCUUAGAUAUCACGAAGAACUCCGAUUGCGAAGGCAGCUCACUGGAGCGCAACUGACGCUGAAGCUCGAAAGUGCGGGUAUCGAACAGGAUUAGAUACCCUGGUAGUCCGCACGGUAAACGAUGGAUGCCCGCUGUUGGUCUGAAUAGGUCAGCGGCCAAGCGAAAGCAUUAAGCAUCCCACCUGGGGAGUACGCCGGCAACGGUGCAAACUCAAAUGAAUUGACGGAAUCCCGCGGC
RNAcentral lists this ribosomal RNA (937 nucleotides) under uncultured Bacteroidota bacterium. RNAcentral's name for it is "bacterial SSU rRNA". It matches the Rfam family "Bacterial small subunit ribosomal RNA", at positions 1 to 927 of the family's 1533-position model. Lineage: Bacteria; Pseudomonadati; Bacteroidota. The record is from RNAcentral.